AGGGUUUGAUUAUGGCUCAGGACGAACGCUGGCGGUGUGCUUAACACAUGCAAGUCAACGAGAAUUUAUCUUCGGAUAAUAGUAAAGUGGCGAACGGGUGAGUAACGCGUAAAUAACUUGCCUCGGAGAUUGGGACAACAUUGGGAAACCAGUGCUAAUACCAAAUAAUGCAGCGGGCCCUUUGGGGUAUUGUUGUUAAAGUAGGCUUCGGCUUACACUUCGAGAUAGAUUUGCGUCCGAUUAGUUAGUUGGUAGGGUAAUAGCCUACCAAGACCGAGAUCGGUAGCUGGUCUGAGAGGAUGAUCAGCCACACUGGAAUUGAGAUACGGUCCAGACUCCUACGGGAGGCAGCAGUGAGGAAUUUUGCACAAUGGGCGAAAGCCUGAUGCAGCAACACCGCGUGAUUGAUGAAGUUUUUAGGAAUGUAAAAAUCUGUCGUAAGGGAAGAAAUGUUUCGGAUGUUAAUACCAUUCGUUACUGACGGUACCUUACAAGAAAGGACCGGCUAACUUCGUGCCAGCC
RNAcentral lists this ribosomal RNA (522 nucleotides) under uncultured Fidelibacterota bacterium. RNAcentral describes it as "bacterial SSU rRNA". It matches the Rfam family "Bacterial small subunit ribosomal RNA", at positions 8 to 513 of the family's 1533-position model. Lineage: Bacteria; Pseudomonadati; Fidelibacterota. The record is from RNAcentral.